UGGGGAAUAUUGGACAAUGGGCGAAAGCCUGAUCCAGCAAUGCCGCGUGAGUGAUGAAGGCCCUAGGGUUGUAAAGCUCUUUUACCCGGGAUGAUAAUGACAGUACCGGGAGAAUAAGCCCCGGCUAACUCCGUGCCAGCAGCCGCGGUAAUACGGAGGGGGCUAGCGUUGUUCGGAAUUACUGGGCGUAAAGCGCACGUAGGCGGCUUUGCAAGUCAGAGGUGAAAGCCCGGGGCUCAACCCCGGAAUUGCCUUUGAGACUGCAUCGCUAGAACGUCGGAGAGGUAAGUGGAAUUCCGAGUGUAGAGGUGAAAUUCGUAGAUAUUCGGAAGAACACCAGUGGCGAAGGCGACUUACUGGACGACUGUUGACGCUGAGGUGCGAAAGCGUGGGGAGCAAA
Molecule: ribosomal RNA, 400 nt
Filed under: uncultured bacterium
Lineage: Bacteria
Description: bacterial SSU rRNA
Rfam family: Bacterial small subunit ribosomal RNA
Source: RNAcentral